This 484-nucleotide ribosomal RNA is filed under the name uncultured bacterium. RNAcentral's name for it is "partial 16S ribosomal RNA". It matches the Rfam family "Bacterial small subunit ribosomal RNA", at positions 30 to 507 of the family's 1533-position model. The record is from RNAcentral.
AUUGAACGCUGGCGGCAGGCCUAACACAUGCAAGUCGAGCGGAUGAAGGGAGCUUGCUCCUGGAUUCAGCGGCGGACGGGUGAGUAAUGCCUAGGAAUCUGCCUGGUAGUGGGGGAUAACGUCCGGCAACGGGCGCUAAUACCGCAUACGUCCUGAGGGAGAAAGUGGGGGAUCUUCGGACCUCACGCUAUCAGAUGAGCCUAGGUCGGAUUAGCUAGUUGGUGGGGUAAAGGCCUACCAAGGCGACGAUCCGUAACUGGUCUGAGAGGAUGAUCAGUCACACUGGAACUGAGACACGGUCCAGACUCCUACGGGAGGCAGCAGUGGGGAAUAUUGGACAAUGGGCGAAAGCCUGAUCCAGACAUGCCGCGUGUGUGAAGAAGGUCUUCGGAUUGUAAAGCACUUUAAGUUGGGAGGAAGGGCAGUAAGUUAAUACCUUGCUGUUUUGACGUUACCAACAGAAUAAGCACCGGCUAACUUCGUG